RNAcentral lists this ribosomal RNA (217 nucleotides) under uncultured bacterium. Its description in RNAcentral is "partial 16S ribosomal RNA". It matches the Rfam family "Bacterial small subunit ribosomal RNA", at positions 114 to 334 of the family's 1533-position model. The record is from RNAcentral.
UGCUUCGGAAUCUUCCUUGUAGUGGGGAAUAACCUGGGGAAACUCGGGCUAAUACCGCAUACGAACCAAGGUUGAAAGCGGGGGAUCGCAAGACCUCGCGCUAUGAGACGAGCCGAAGUCGGAUUAGCUAGUUGGUGGGGUAAUGGCCUACCAAGGCGACGAUCCGUAGCUGGUCUGAGAGGACGACCAGCCACACUGGGACUGAGACACGGCCCAG